RNA transcript from Carassius gibelio (silver crucian carp), 7148 nucleotides. RefSeq lists it as uncharacterized. The transcript is spliced from 2 exons. NCBI's taxonomy places the organism in Eukaryota, Metazoa, Chordata, Actinopteri, Cypriniformes, Cyprinidae. The record is from RefSeq and is a predicted model, not a curated record.
GAAGAAGGACUUACUGUUAUGGGGAUUAGCCAAUCAGCGGCUUCGUUUCGGGGUCACAGAGAGAACACAGUUUUAGCGCUAACAGUUUUAGUUUCGUUUUGAGUUGGUUGUGAGAUUGGCCGGUAAACGCAUUGUAGAAUUUACUGAGGUGAAUAGAUGUCUUCCAUGUCAAUAUCUGUGCAUGUGUGCGUUCAGAGACAUGUGAGUACCCUGAUCUAAAUGUUUACGUAUGUGUAUUUCGGUGCCUUGGGUUGUUAAGAGUUUAUUCUGAGAUACUCUAUUGAAAUGCAGUAUGUUAGCAUAAAGUUCGCUAGCAUUAUGUUAAUGCCUAUUAAUAUUAUUUUUAUAUUAAUAUUGUGUUUAUAUGUGUUCUCACUUGACACUUUAUAGUUUUUAUCUGAGAGUAAUUAUGGUUGAGAAGUAGAGACCUAGGUUUUUUGGUUUGAUAGUAGUGAUAACUAGCAGUAUGAAGACAGUUCUUUAAGGCAAUAAGAAGAUAAUGUUUUUAUCUGGUAUUUUAUUUUGGUUAUUUGAUAUGUAUAAGCAGCUAAUGCUACUUAAAGGGAAAUGUAUAAUAAUUACAAGUUAUUACCUUUGCUAAUUGAAUCAUGUCAGCACUGUUGUUUAUUUGUAUUCUGAUAUUUUCUUUCUUUUAUUGUUUAUUGUAGAACCACACACACCUACUGUACGUACAUGAAGACAGAUAAUCCUCUGCUGAGUGUCAAUAAAACCAUCAAAGAGAUUUACAGCAUCCAAUUGCAUUCUUAUCGAUGCACCACAGUGGUCACUUGUCCCCAACUAGCUACAGUUACAGUCCUAGCUAUCAAGUCGUCAUUACAAAUUUGGUCCUUCGAGCCGGAUUCAGUUUGUGACCGCUGUGCGUGAGGAUGUUCCCAUAUGCGAGAGAGGAGGCAACGCCACUUACUGAUACCCGCCCGAGACGUCAGAUACGUCCGCCAGCCUGGUUUGCUGAUUAUGAAGUCUCCCUGCCUGUUGUGGAGAGACCCUCCCGGGCUGCAGCACUCUCCUCGCAGCCCCCCCAUCAGAUGCAGGAGCCUUACUAUGGUGGUGACAGGAUCGAUCAGCUGUUAACAUGCACCUCCCAGCUUUAUGAUCAGUGGAAUCAGACUGGUGCUCGCCCUAAGUAUCCCAGAGAUUCAGCGUUCUCAGGACCCCAUUAUCAGAGCACCCCAGACCCACUGUCUCACAGAGUAAACUCAGGGGCUUCACCUGAAAUAUUAGAUGAGCUGCAAAAGAUUAGGGAGGAUAACCGAAGACUUCAACUUAUCAUAAUGGAGAUGCAAACACAGCUUAGUUCAAGAAGAGGCCCAGAUCCAUCACAACACACUGCGCUCUCCCCCGAGGAGUACAGCCCGAACGUGCAGUCGGGAGUGCACGCUGCAUCCAUUAGCUCACCAAGGCCCACAACACAAGUUACGGUCCAUAACACAUUAGCACCUGUCCAGGUACCCAGUGAAGUAGAAGUGGACGAUGAAGACUGGCCCCUCCCCCCCCCUCCAGUGGCAGAUGAUGAGGAGAAGCCACAGCUAUCCACUACCACACUGUCCACAGAGUUAGUAGCAGAACUAAUGACAUGCCUUAAGAAGAUGGGGAUCACUCAAGAUCAGCUUCCUGGAAUGCCGGCAUUUGGCAAUGAUAAUCGGGUUGCAUCUGGUCAGAUGAGGAGGUCACACCAACCAACGGAUCCACAAGUCCGUCCACAGAUAUCACCCCCUUUAGUUCCUCAUGAGCCAGGCGCAGCUAAUGAAACGAGACACGAGGACUCUCACACUCGCCGAGCAACGGAGUACAUAUAUCGGGGUCCUCAACCCACCAUCCCAGACUUUAAUAGAGGGGACCCUCGUGAGUUUGCUAGGCUGAAGACCUCCCUGGAAAAUCUACUCCCCCAUGAUGCUACGGAGAGGUUUAAAUAUCAGAUUUUAGUUGAUCAUCUCAAAUUUGAAGAAGCGCUCCUUAUCGCAGAUUCAUACACCAACUCUACACAACCCUACACUGACACUAUGGCCUCAUUAACAGAGCAUUAUGGGCAACCUCACCAGCUAGCAUUAAGGCGCAUUGCAGAUCUGAUGGAGGCGCCUAACAUUCGUAGUCAGGACAUCACUGCCUUUAAAGGAUUUGCUCUCAGGGUGAGAGCCUUGGUUGGCAUGCUCGACCAGCUUGGAGAGAAAGGUCAUAUUGAGCUUCAGUGUGGGUCUCAUGUCACUAGGCUUAUGUCCAAGCUUCCACAAGAUCUGCGGUAUGGGUUUAUGAGAUACCUACAUCCCCUCAGCAUCCGUGUCCCUACGCUAUUAGACUUCGCCCGCUGGCUGGAGUUUGAGCUGCAGAUUCAGGAGUAUGGAUAUGAGUCCCGACCCCAAGAGAACCCAGACAGUAAGAGGGAUAGACGGAAGGACUCAAAGUUUGGCAGGCUAACCACAGUCCUCCAUGGAGCUGAACAAUCUUCUAGUUGCCCGACUGUCCCAGUAUUCUCAUCUACCAGUGCCAAUCCACAAGGCAAAGUCGCCCUACCCUGCCCAUACUGUACCGACGCCCUGCAUUAUCUGAACCAGUGCACUAACUUCAGCCGGUUAACCACUGAGCAGCGGAGAGACUGGGUUAAGAAAAACAGGCGGUGCUGGCGUUGUGGUCGUUGUCACCAGGCCGCACAGUGCAAACUUAAGGCCAGGUGCAAGAAUUGUAAUGGCAGACAUCUGGAAGCUCUCCAUGACCUUAACUUUAGACCAGCCAUAGUGACACCAGCCACAGAGAACACAUCAUGCUUAGUGAGUACUGCUAAUGAAGUUCUCUAUCUUGAUAGGCCGUCUGGCAGCAGUCAGGUGCUCCUAAAGGUGACAAAGGUUGUGCUACACAAUGGACAGCAUGCCAUGGAGACCUACGCGAUACUGGAUGAUGGGUCAGAGCGCACGAUGCUACUUCCAGCCGCCGCUAAGGAGCUUAAACUUAAAGGGGAGUCAGAGAACCUUGCUUUAAGGACGGUGCGCCAGGAUCUUAGGGUUCUACAAGGAAUGUCGGUCUCAUUCUCAAUUUCUCCUGCUAGGCACCCCCAAAAGACUUACAAGAUCCGGAGAGCCUUUACUGCUGAUCAAUUGGGCCUUGCAGAGCAUUCACAACCGGUGAAGACUCUUCAGCGCAAAUAUAAGCACCUGAGGGGACUUCCUUUGCAAACACUGGAAUGCGUUCACCCCAUGGUCCUCAUUGGGUCAGACUAUACGCACCUGAUCACCCCAGUAGAGCCGGUUCGUAUGGGUCCACCUGGCGGACCAGCUGCUGUAAAGACCAAGUUGGGCUGGACUAUUCAGGGCCCAACCAAGAUCAUCCGACAGCAUCUUCAGCCGCAGCAGUGUCUGCAUAUAUCCACACAGUCACCCUCUGCAGAGCUCCUUUAUCACGUGGAGAAACUAUGGAAAAUGGAUGUACUGCCGUUCAGGAGUGAGAAGGUAGUGGUCCGCUCAAAGCAAGAUCAAGAGGCAGUUCGCAUGCUGGAAACCAAGACAGUGAGGGUGGAAGUCGACGGAGUACAUCGUUACGCCACCCCCUUGCUUCGUGUUAAUAACAUGCCGUGUCUCCACGCCCCCAAAGAUGCUGUACUGGCGAGUCUGCGGAGCACUGAGAGACGUCUGAUGAAAGACCCAACACGAGCAUCAGCCUAUGCAGCAGAGAUCCUGAAAUUGGAACAGGCGGGGUACGUGAAGAAGGUAGCAGAGGAAGAUCUGAGCACAUCAAGAGAGUCCUGGUUUAUACCUCACCACAUGGUGAGUCAUAAUGGAAAAAACAGGCUUGUAUUUAACUGCUCCUUUGUAUACAAGGGCUACAACCUAAAUGAGCUUCUACUGCCAGGCCCAACAUUGACCUCCAGCCUGCUAGGUGUCCUGUUGAGAUUCAGGGAGCAUGUUGUUGCUAUAAGCAGCGACAUAAAAGGCAUGUUCCAUCAGAUCAGGUUACUGCCAGAAGACAGAUCUCUGCUUCGUUUCGUGUGGAGGGACAUGAAUAAAGAGGCACCACCCGGCGUCUAUGAGUGGCAGGUCCUCCCCUUUGGAACAACAUGCAGCCCCUGCUGUGCAACGUUUGCACUGCAGAAGCAUGUGACAGAUCACAGCCAGCUAGAGGAGGAUGUCCGGGUGGCCGUCGAGCGCCACUUUUAUGUGGAUAACCACUUACAGAGCCUCUCCUCCUCUACAGCAGCAAGACAGCUGGUUGACAAAUUGAAUAGGUUAUUGGCCUCAGGGGGGUUUGAGCUGCGUCAGUGGGCUAGUAAUGUUCCCGAAAUUAUCAGUCACCUUCCUAAAGGAGCAAGAUCCCAGAACAGCGAGUUAUGGCUCACAGAGUCAAUGGAGGAUCCACAGGAGCUUGCACUUGGACUCAGAUGGCUUUGCGCCUCAGACACUCUGGCCUACAAGUGUAACGUCACUGACCGUCCCACACCGACUAUGAGGAACAUCUAUAGUACACUGGCACGGCUUUUUGAUCCGCUAGGCUUUCUCGUUCCCUUCGCCACGCGGGCCAAAAUCAUUGUGCAGCACCUAUGGAACAAAGAGAGGGAGUGGGAUGACCCGUCACUGCCAGAUGAUGCCCUCAAGGCCUGGCUAACUUGGGAGAAUGAGCUGCAACACCUUCCAGAGAUUGUCUUGCCACGGUGCUACACAAGUCCCCCUCUGGACCACCCCAGUUCUGUCAGAAGCCUUCAUAUAUUCUGUGACGCAUCUGAGAAAGCUUACGGUUCAGUUGCGUACCUUCGUACAGAGGGUUCAGGUGGUAAGGUGGAGGUGGCCUUUCUGACUGCACGGUCGAGAGUGGCCCCCAAGCGCCAACAGUCGAUACCUCGAUUAGAGCUGUGUGCAGCGGUGACUGGAGCUCAGCUAGCAGUGCUGUUGCAGCGUGAACUCACCCUGGUAAUACAUGGAGUGGUGCUUUGGACAGACUCCACCACGGUUCUCACGUGGCUUCAGUCAGACUCUUGCAGGUUUAAGGUGUUUGUGGGCACCAGAGUCGCUGAGAUCCAGGAGCUGACUGAUGCUCAAGCAUGGAGGUAUGUGGAUUCUGAAAGUAAUCCCGCAGAUGACAUUACGCGCGGGAAGACCCUGAGGGAGCUGGCAGGGGAGAGCCGGUGGAACCAUGGCCCAGCCUUUUUGCGCCUGUCACCUCAGCAAUGGCCUACUAAGCCACAGGCUGAGCAGUUGGAUGCCACAGAGCUUCGCAAGGCCACAUUUUGCGGCUCCAUCAUCACCGUUCCUCUUCCACCCUUAUUUGAUGCCAGCCAAUUCAAUGGUUUCAGGGACAUGAUCGAGGCAAUUGUGAGGUUCCGCCAUGGGGCGGCAGGUAGUCAGUCAAUGCCAUCUGCACAAGACUAUCAGGAUGCUGAGAUAGACCUACUGAGACGAGUUCAGUUAGACUGCUUUGAGGAAGACUUUCAACACCUUUCAGAAAGAAAACCCGUCCCUUCCACCAGCCGUUUGAUUACAUUAGCUCCUGAAUAUGAUGAUCAACUGAAGCUGAUUCGGGUUGGAGGCAGAUUGCGUCAGACUACCUUGCUGGACACAGAAGCCAUUCAUCCCAUAGUUCUGGAUCCAGCUCACCAGGUGACUAAACUUAUCAUUCAAGAUGCUGACCGAGACCUCCAUCAUCCAGGCUCAGAGCGAUUAUUUGCAGAACUUCGCAGACGAUACUGGAUUCUUCGUGGAAGAGAAGCUGUGAAGCGGCACCAGUUCUCCUGUCCUGAUUGUCGGAGAUGGAGAGCGAAGCCUGCAGUGCCACAAAUGGCAGACUUACCUCCCGCCCGUCUGCGGUUGAUGAAGCCUCCUUACUUCUCUACCGGAAUGGAUUGUUUCGGGCCCUUCACGGUCAAAAUCGGACGGCGUAAUGAGAAACGUUGGGGUAUACUAUUUAAGUGCCUCACUACCCGAGCAGUCCAUAUCGACGUCCUGACUAGUCUCGACCAGGAUUCCUUCCUGAUGGCCCUCCGCAGAUUUAUCUCACGCAGGGGAAAACCAGCGGAGCUUCUGUCGGAUCAGGGCACGAAUUUCAGAGGAGGUGAGAGGGAAAUCCAUGAGUCUUUCAAGGCACUGCACCCCACUUUACAGGCAGAACUGGCCAAACAUCAGAUCCAGUUUAGAUUUAACCCUCCAAGUGCCCCUCACUUUGGUGGUGCAUGGGAGAGGGAAAUAAAAUCUAUCAAAGCUGCCCUGUAUGCAACAAUUCAGAUGCAGACGGUGACAGAAGAAGUCCUGCGCACGGUCCUGAUUGAGAUCGAGGGCAUCCUAAACUCUAAGCCCUUGGGGUAUGUGUCCAGUGACGUCGCGGACCCUGAUCCAGUAACCCCCAAUUUGCUUGUGAUGGGGCGGCCCGACCCCUCACUGCCCCAGGUGUUGUAUCCUGAGUCCGAGCUGUUGAGCCGCCGCCGCUGGAGGCAUACACAGGUCCUUGCCGACCAAUUUUGGAGGGCAUUUAUCAGGCACUAUCUGCCGGCCCUGCAAACGCGCACCAAGUGGCAGAAAGAUGUGGCCCCAUUACAACCUGGUACUGUCGUCAUGAUCAUUGAUCCGCAGCUCCCGAGGGCGCUCUGGCCUAUUGGUCGCAUCACAAAGGUUAUCCCAGGUGCAGAUGGGAGGAUAAGGACAGCGGAGAUCCAGGUGAACGACAGGAAAUACAUCAGGCCAGUUGCCCGUCUUGUUCAACUUCCUGCCAUACCUGAGACAGCACCUGAGACCAACAGUCCUUCUAUGGGACAGCAAAUUUGACUGUGCAAAUUUGGGGGCGGCUGUGAAGAAGGACUUACUGUUAUGGGGAUUAGCCAAUCAGCGGCUUCGUUUCGGGGUCACAGAGAGAACACAGUUUUAGCGCUAACAGUUUUAGUUUCGUUUUGAGUUGGUUGUGAGAUUGGCCGGUAAACGCAUUGUAGAAUUUACUGAGGUGAAUAGAUGUCUUCCAUGUCAAUAUCUGUGCAUGUGUGCGUUCAGAGACAUAACCACACACACCUACUGUACGUACAUGAAGACAGAUAAUCCUCUGCUGAGUGUCAAUAAAACCAUCAAAGAGAUUUACAGCAUCCAAUUGCAUUCUUAUCGAUGCACCACAGUGGUCACUUGUCCCCAACUAGCUACAGUUACAGUCCUAGCUAUCAAGUCGUCAUU